GACAGACUUAAAAUUUUUAAUUUCUUCAUUAAAAUUUAUCUUAAUUCAACAUCGAGGUCGCAAUCUUUUUUAUCAAUAUGAACUCUUUAAAAAUAUUACGCUGUUAUCCCUAAGGUAAUUUAAUUUAUUUUCACUAAUAAUGGAUAUACAAAUCAUUUAUAUAUGUAAUAUAAAUCAAAAAUUUUUUUAAAUUUUUUUAUAGCCCCAAUAAAAUAACUUAAUUUAAAUAAAAUUUUAUUAAAUUUACUUAAACUAUAAAUUAUAAAAUUCUAUAGGGUCUUCUCGUCUUUUAAUUUAAUGUAAGAAUUUUUACUUACAAUAAAAUUUAAUAAUUUAAAUUGAGACAGAUUUUAUUUCAUCAAUUCUUUCAUUCUAGACUUAAAUAAUAAGACAAAUGAUUAUGCUACCUUUGUACAGUCAAUAUACUGCAGCUAUUUAAAAAUUUCAUUGAGCAGAACUAAUUUUAAAUUAAUUUCAAAAAACCAUGUUUUUGAUAAAC
This 499-nucleotide ribosomal RNA is filed under the name Eurytoma sp. DH-2003c. RNAcentral describes it as "partial 16S ribosomal RNA". The record is from RNAcentral. Lineage: Eukaryota; Metazoa; Arthropoda; Insecta; Hymenoptera; Eurytomidae.